Molecule: transfer RNA, 90 nt
Filed under: Clostridiales bacterium
Lineage: Bacteria; Bacillati; Bacillota; Clostridia; Eubacteriales
Description: tRNA-Ser
Rfam family: tRNA
About the family: Transfer RNA (tRNA) molecules are approximately 80 nucleotides in length. Their secondary structure includes four short double-helical elements and three loops (D, anti-codon, and T loops). Further hydrogen bonds mediate the characteristic L-shaped molecular structure. tRNAs have two regions of fundamental functional importance: the anti-codon, which is responsible for specific mRNA codon recognition, and the 3' end, to which the tRNAs corresponding amino acid is attached (by aminoacyl-tRNA synthetases). tRNAs cope with the degeneracy of the genetic code in two manners: having more than one tRNA (with a specific anti-codon) for a particular amino acid; and 'wobble' base-pairing, i.e. permitting non-standard base-pairing at the 3rd anti-codon position.
Source: RNAcentral
GGAGAGAUGGCUGAGCGGCUGAAGGCACUCGCUUGGAAAGCGGGCAUACUGUAACAGGUAUCGCGGGUUCGAACCCCGCUCUCUCCGCCA